This 441-nucleotide ribosomal RNA is filed under the name uncultured bacterium. RNAcentral describes it as "partial 16S ribosomal RNA". It matches the Rfam family "Bacterial small subunit ribosomal RNA", at positions 28 to 507 of the family's 1533-position model. The record is from RNAcentral.
GAUGAACGCUGGCGGCGUGCCUAAUACAUGCAAGUCGAACGGGGAGUAGCAAUACUCUUAGUGGCGAACGGGUGAGUAACGCGUUGGUACCUGCCCCGAAGCGGGGGAUAACGGACCGAAAGGUCCGCUAAUACCCCAUGUGCUCGGUAACGAGUAAAGGUGAAAACCACUUUGGGAGGGGCCUGCGUCCCAUCAGCUAGUUGGUAAGGUAACGGCUUACCAAGGCGAUGACGGGUAGGGGACCUGAGAGGGUGGCCCCCCACAAUGGAACCGAAACACGGUCCAUACACCUACGGGUGGCAGCAGUAGGGAAUAUUGGUAAUGGGCGCAAGCCUGAACCAGCAACGCCGCGUGUGCGAUGACGGCCUUCGGGUUGUAAAGCACUUUUGACUGGGACGAGGAAGGACGGUACCGGUCGAAUCAGCCUCGGCUAACUACGUG